UACGGAGGGGGCUAGCGUUGUUCGGAAUUACUGGGCGUAAAGCGCACGUAGGCGGCUUUGCAAGUUAGAGGUGAAAGCCCGGGGCUCAACUCCGGAAUUGCCUUUAAAACUGCAUCGCUAGAAUUGUGGAGAGGUAAGUGGAAUUCCGAGUGUAGAGGUGAAAUUCGUAGAUAUUCGGAAGAACACCAGUGGCGAAGGCGACUUACUGGACACAUAUUGACGCUGAGGCGCGAAAGCCAGGGGAGCAAACGGG
This 253-nucleotide ribosomal RNA is filed under the name uncultured bacterium. RNAcentral describes it as "partial 16S ribosomal RNA". It matches the Rfam family "Bacterial small subunit ribosomal RNA", at positions 524 to 776 of the family's 1533-position model. The record is from RNAcentral.